CAAGAGCGUAUAUUAAAGUUGCAGCAGUUUAAAAACUCGUAGUUGGAUUUUAGUCUAGGAAGGUUAACUCGUCGGAAGGUUGUACGUUGAUUUUCCUCAGAUUUCGUCAGAAGCUCGUGCUGCACUUAACUGUGUGGUACGAAGUUCUGACCUUUUACCUUGAGGAAAGUAGAUUGUUUCAGGCAGGCUACCCAGCUUGAAUACAUUAGCAUGGAAUAAUGAAAUGGAUCUCGGUUCGAUUUCGUUGGUUCUAGAGCUGAGGUGAUGAUCAAUAGGAACAGGCGAAGGUAUUCGUACUUGAGAGUGAGGAGUGAAAUCUGACAAUCUCUUAAAGACGAUCCGAGGCGAAAGCAGUUGUCAAGGAUGUUUUCAUUGAUCAAGAACGAAAGUUAGGGGAUCGAAGAUGAUUAGAUACCA
This 417-nucleotide ribosomal RNA is filed under the name uncultured eukaryote. RNAcentral's name for it is "bacterial SSU rRNA". It matches the Rfam family "Eukaryotic small subunit ribosomal RNA", at positions 592 to 1017 of the family's 1831-position model. The record is from RNAcentral.